GUGUAACAACUCACCUGCCGAAUGAACUAGCGCUGAAAAUGGAUGGCGCUCAAGCGGACCACCGAUCCCCGACCAACGGCGUGAGUGCUUUGCGCCGUUGAGUAGGAGGGCGUGGGGCUCGUGAAGCAGCCGCGGGAGUGAUCCCCGGUGAAACGGGCUCUAGUGCAGAUCUUGGUGGGAGUAGCAAAUAUUCAAAUGAGAACUUUGAAGACUGAAGUGGACAAGGGUUCCAUGUGAACAGCAGUUGGACAUGGGUGAGCCGAUCCUAAGGGGUAGGGCAACUCUGCGAACAGCUUCAUUCUGUGAGGCUUCCUACCGAAAGGGAAACGGGUUAACAUUCCCGUGCCAGCGGAAGGCGAAUGGGUGGCAACACGUCCGAGCCCGGCGACGUCGGCGGAGGCCCCGGGAAGAGUUCUCUUUUCUUCUUAACUGGCCGUUACCCUGGAAUCGGAUUGCCCGGAGCGAGGGUUCUGCGUCAGGGAAAGCCUCCUAAGUCUUGGGAGGUCCGGUGCGCUUUCGACGGCCCUUGAAAAGCCGGGGGCGCGUUUGAUGUUCUUUCCUGGUCGUACCCAUAACCGCCUCAGGUGUCCCAGGUCAAGAGCCUCUAGUUGAUAGAACAAUGUAGAUAAGGGAAG
RNAcentral lists this ribosomal RNA (635 nucleotides) under Rhodosorus marinus. RNAcentral's name for it is "partial Eukaryotic large subunit ribosomal RNA". It matches the Rfam family "Eukaryotic large subunit ribosomal RNA", at positions 1280 to 1913 of the family's 3401-position model. Lineage: Eukaryota; Rhodophyta; Stylonematophyceae; Stylonematales; Stylonemataceae. The record is from RNAcentral.